UCGGACACUUUUCUAACCGGCAUGCAUCUCGCGGUGGUCACCGGUGAUUGGUUCAGCGCAGAUUUUGCUCAUCUCAAAAGAGCCUCAUUACAAAUUUUCUGUCUUUGUGACUGUGAGCAAUAUUUGGCGCGUUUUGAAAAGCUACCGUUAUUCUCGCAUCGCCCUCAUGACGUUACCACUAGUUUCAUUCACUCAGCGCGUGUUUGCUGUGUCUUCUGAGGCUCAGUUUUCCUAUAAAUGCCAGAAUAUUCUCAUCAGCCUACAAGUGAAGACAGAGUUUACUGAAGGACAGUGAGCACAUGACAGAUCCAGAACCCUGCAGAAUGAAACACACUGAAAAACAAACAGGUGAACUCUCUCAGGAGGAGUUUAUGGAGGGCAUUCAGGCCGACGAGGUUCUGUUGAAGAUGUUGACUGACUCGUAUCGUCAAAAUAAUCUACAGCGAGAUCAACUCUGAGCAGCAGCUGCACUGAUCCCAGACCAGCUGAUGAUGAUGAAGAUGAUGGCUGUUGUGCAGGUUCUGCAGCAGGUCAAAUCGCAGCUAGUUUCUCCUGGUGUAUUUCUCAUCUUAGAAGCUGAAAUUUACCAUUGAGUGAGGACGUUUAAAUCCUCAACACAUCAGAAAUAUCCAGUAUUUACCGUGUUUUACUGUGUUACUCUCAGCUGGACUGAAAAUCUUAAUGUAAUCUCACAGAAUAACAUUAGUGAUGGAAACUAGAGCAAACCCUGUUUAUUCAAGUGCACUUAUACACACUAAAACCUUGAAUCAUUCCUGUAAAAUACAUUCUUCAGUCCUGUGAUGUGUGUGUAUGUGUGUAUAUAUAUAUAUAAGGGGAAUAAUGUUAUUUAUGUAAAAAAUGCAGUAUUAUAUUAUGUAGAGGACAUUUAUAACGUUAUUGUCAUUUCACACUUGGAUUCUCUUUUGAAAAUAAAACAUGA
Long non-coding RNA from Sinocyclocheilus rhinocerous, 940 nucleotides. RefSeq lists it as uncharacterized. The record is from RefSeq and is a predicted model, not a curated record. Lineage: Eukaryota; Metazoa; Chordata; Actinopteri; Cypriniformes; Cyprinidae. The transcript has 3 exons.